AAACUUUGCAAUGUGCGAAAGCACGACAAGGUUAAUCCGAGUGGUUUCUGCUAAAGGAACCUUUUGACAGUCCUAGAAACACUGUUGAAUAAGGGGUGGGCAAGUUCUGGUGUCAGCCGCCGCGGUAAAACCAGCACCUCAAGUGGUCAGGAUGAUUAUUGGGCCUAAAGCAUCCGUAGCCGGCUCUGUAAGUUUUCGGUUAAAUCUGUACGCUUAACGUACAGGCUGCUGGGAAUACUGCAGGGCUAGGGAGUGGGAGAGGUAGACGGUACUCGGGAGGAAGUGGUAAAAUGCUUUGAUCUCUCGAUGACCACCUGUGGCGAAGGCGGUCUACCAGAACAUGUCCGACGGUGAGGGAUGAAAGCUGGGGGAGCAAACCGGAUUAGAUACCCGGGUAGUCCCAGCUGUAAACUAUGCAAACUCAGUGAUGCACUGGCUUGUGGCCAGUGCAGUGUUGCAGGGAAGCCGUUAAGUUUGCCGCCUGGGAAGUACGUACGCAAGUAUGAAACUUAAAGGAAUUGGCGGGGGAGCAC
Molecule: ribosomal RNA, 533 nt
Filed under: uncultured archaeon
Lineage: Archaea
Description: bacterial SSU rRNA
Rfam family: Archaeal small subunit ribosomal RNA
Source: RNAcentral